This 72-nucleotide transfer RNA is filed under the name Heterocephalus glaber (naked mole-rat). It matches the Rfam family "tRNA". Rfam says of the family: Transfer RNA (tRNA) molecules are approximately 80 nucleotides in length. Their secondary structure includes four short double-helical elements and three loops (D, anti-codon, and T loops). The record is from Rfam by way of RNAcentral. Lineage: Eukaryota; Metazoa; Chordata; Mammalia; Rodentia; Bathyergidae.
GGGGAUGUAGUUCAGUGGUAGAGCACUUGUCUAGCAUGCAUGAGGCCCUGGGUUCAAUCACCAGCACUAUUA